Molecule: ribosomal RNA, 216 nt
Filed under: Glomeromycotina sp.
Lineage: Eukaryota; Fungi; Glomeromycota
Description: partial small subunit ribosomal RNA
Rfam family: Eukaryotic small subunit ribosomal RNA (bases 40-216)
Source: RNAcentral
GGGUCAGUAGGUUGGUCGUGCCACCGGUACGUACUGGUCUCACUGAUUCCUUCUUCCUGAAGAACCGUAAUGCCAUUAAUUUGGUGUUGCGGGGAAACAGGACUGUUACUUUGAAAAAAUUAGAGUGUUUAAAGCAAGCUAACGCUUGGAUACAUUAGCAUGGAAUAAUGAAAUAGGACGAUCGAUCCUAUUUUGUUGGUUUCUAGGAUUGACGUA